RNAcentral lists this non-coding RNA (45 nucleotides) under Schistosoma mansoni. The record is from RNAcentral. Lineage: Eukaryota; Metazoa; Platyhelminthes; Trematoda; Strigeidida; Schistosomatidae.
AUCCAGAUGACCAGUCCCAAAUAGGACGAAACGCGCAUCCUGGAU